UGGGGAAUAUUGGACAAUGGGCGCAAGCCUGAUCCAGCAAUACCGCGUGUGUGAAGAAGGCCUGAGGGUUGUAAAGCACUUUUAAUCGGGAGGAACACCUGUCAGCGAAUACCUGGCAGUAUGACAUUACCGAUAGAAAAAGCACCGGCUAACUCCGUG
This 159-nucleotide ribosomal RNA is filed under the name uncultured bacterium. RNAcentral's name for it is "partial 16S ribosomal RNA". It matches the Rfam family "Bacterial small subunit ribosomal RNA", at positions 355 to 507 of the family's 1533-position model. The record is from RNAcentral.